GGGGCGAGCGUUAUCCGGAUUUACUGGGUGUAAAGGGAGCGUAGACGGUUCUGCAAGUCUGAAGUGAAAGCCCGUGGCUUAACCGCGGAACGGCUUUGGAAACUGUGGAACUGGAGUGCUGGAGAGGCAAGCGGAAUUCCUAGUGUAGCGGUGAAAUGCGUAGAUAUUAGGAGGAACACCAGUGGCGAAGGCGGCUUGCUGGACAGUAACUGACGUUGAGGCUCGAAAGCAUGGGUAGCGAAC
Molecule: ribosomal RNA, 243 nt
Filed under: uncultured bacterium
Lineage: Bacteria
Description: partial 16S ribosomal RNA
Rfam family: Bacterial small subunit ribosomal RNA
Source: RNAcentral